GCUAUUGGCCUGGCAGACCUAAUUGCCAGCCACAUUGCUUCUGAACAUCACUCUGUGCUUUUUCUCCAUAUUAGUUAUUUCCUUCCAUAUCUGUUGCAAGCUCUUCCCACUGUUGCUUCUAUGUUUGGAUCAAGCAAGAAGCUCCAUCCAUUUCAUCCUAUGCAGGGGAGGUAGCAACAGAGACACUGACUCUCACAUGCUUCCUGGUACGUCUUUGAAAUACUGUAAAUACAGAAAGCAUCACAAGACCCUCCUGACGCACAGAUGUCUGGAGUGAAGGACACUUGACUCGAACACAAGCAGCAUAAAAAUGGCCACUCAGACCCAGCAGUUUCUAGAAGGUGGAAAAGGCCAGCAAUGAAGUUUCUGGCAUAAAGACUCAAUGGCAUGCUUCCUGAAGAACAGAGGAAAAUAACAAAAAAAGGACCAGAAGAAAACAGGAAGAUGGGAUUGUCCAAUGCCUGUGUAAAGGUGCCCUCUGUUUCAAAACCAGCCCACUACAAGUCCAGUUGCCUAAGAAGAAAACAAUGCAGGGCUUUUGAAAUUGACCAGUGUUGCAUUUCUAUGUAGCCAUGACGCCAGGGUGUGAACCUCCAGCUUCACUAAAUAUCCAUCUGUCUGGCCUGCCAGAGGAGAAGCUCAAUGGCCAUCGAUCUCACCUGGCUGUUUUUGUCCAGAGGAUGCUCUUAUUUCUUGGCGGAGACUAUGGAGGAUGGGAGAAGAAAGCUGAAGAAGGUACCUCUGUACAUGUGCAUGCAUGUCCACCCCAUCAGACACUCACUUCUUUUGUCCCAGCUUCUCUCAGGAUUUUCCAGAUAGAGACUAUUCAGAAGUGGUUUACCA
Molecule: non-coding RNA, 843 nt
Organism: Pogona vitticeps (central bearded dragon)
Lineage: Eukaryota; Metazoa; Chordata; Lepidosauria; Squamata; Agamidae
Source: RefSeq, a predicted model, not a curated record